UGCGCAUCUAAAAUUGCCAGAGCGGCUGGCUGAAAACCCUCCAGGGAUUGCUGCAUUUGCUAUCCGAAAGUCAACUCCUAUGCCUUCGGAGAGUGAGGAAGAUCAGAGAGGGGCAUUUUUGCCUGUUUUAAUGUCGCCAUCAGUCACCAGGCAAGUCUGCAAUCUUUGCUGCAUCCUUCCAUGGUAUCGGCACAAGCAAGGCUAGGAGGAAAAUGAGCUGCAGAAGGAUCAAAUGACCUGCCUGAGGUGCCCUAUCUGUUGGCACAGGCCAGAGCACAUGGUGGAUGCAGGGGCACCCCCUUCCCUUCUCCUCCCCUCCGGCUCUUUGCUGACAGGAUUCUCUCUUGCCUUCUCUGAUGGUACCUGUGCUACGUGCCACAUCCUUUCCCUCAAUGAAUUUCAGGCAGUGGAAGGGGCCGCAGAAGUUCCUUGACUCAUGAGGCGAGGCAUUCAGCGGCCUCGUGACACCUCCCAGGAUCUGCAGUCAUUGGGCUGCACUUGCCAAUAGCAACACCUGGCAAAAAUAGCUAAGAAGCAGAGCGGCCUGGGCUCAGGAGCUGAGCAACCCCUGACUGGCCAGAUGGAGACUGUGUUGAGCUCUGCCCAAGCCCUGUGAUCCUGGAAAACAGUGAAGUUAAGGAGCCAUCUGCAUUCUAGGGAAUGGCCCACUGCAAAAAAUAGCCUUCCUUAUAGGACGUAGAGGACUCAUGAUGUCCCCUCAUUUAUGAUGAGCCAACACACAGCCCUUCCAAAUUCCGAUUCUUUGCUUCAUAACUGAUGAGCUGUUUUGUUCCCACUGGUCAAUCGGAACAACAUUCUUGCUAACCAGAUUUUGGUUCAGCUCUUCUCCCUCCCCAUGUACCUGCCCUGUGUCCUGUCCUCAUCCUGAGCCAGCACACACCCCUCCUUAGUAGCUCCUCCUGCAGCAGGCUGACCUCGGACUCUCCCUGAUCCAUUGUCCAAAUAUAUCACCCUUUCACCCUACAUCCUCACACCCCAUUCUUUCUAGUUUUGUUCAUUCCUCCCUGUGAAAGAUGAACCCUCUUUGCCUAACCCCGGACCUGCUUGCAGACUGCUAUGAUGGCCAGAGUGUCCCCCCUACUGCAAGAGUCCCUUCUG
This 1119-nucleotide long non-coding RNA is filed under the name Homo sapiens (human). RNAcentral's name for it is "HSALNT0380216". Lineage: Eukaryota; Metazoa; Chordata; Mammalia; Primates; Hominidae. The record is from RNAcentral.